RNAcentral lists this ribosomal RNA (350 nucleotides) under Gammaproteobacteria bacterium. Its description in RNAcentral is "bacterial LSU rRNA". It matches the Rfam family "Bacterial large subunit ribosomal RNA", at positions 2587 to 2925 of the family's 2925-position model. The record is from RNAcentral. Lineage: Bacteria; Pseudomonadati; Pseudomonadota; Gammaproteobacteria.
UUUAAAGUGGUACGCGAGCUGGGUUUAGAACGUCGUGAGACAGUUCGGUCCCUAUCUGCCGUGGGCGUUUGAGAUUUGAGAGGAGCUGCUCCUAGUACGAGAGGACCGGAGUGGACGAACCUCUGGUGUUCCGGUUGUGAUGCCAAUUGCAUUGCCGGGUAGCUACGUUCGGACAGGAUAACCGCUGAAAGCAUCUAAGCGGGAAGCCCCCCUCAAGAUUAGAUCUCACCGGGACUUUAAGUCCCCUAAAGAGCCCUCGAAGACUACGAGGUUGAUAGGCGAGGUGUGUAAGCGCUGUGAAGCGUUGAGCUAACUCGUACUAAUUGCUCGUGAGGCUUGAUCAUAUAACU